Catharus ustulatus (Swainson's thrush) is the source of this 2051-nucleotide long non-coding RNA. RefSeq lists it as uncharacterized. Lineage: Eukaryota; Metazoa; Chordata; Aves; Passeriformes; Turdidae. The record is from RefSeq and is a predicted model, not a curated record. The transcript has 3 exons.
CUCUUGCAACAGAGAGACAACAAAUGGCCAAGCUGAUACUUGCUGCUGAAUCACUUCAAGUUAAACUCAGCUACCUGAUGUUGCUGGAAUCAACACCAAUAUGCAAGAAAGCACAUUUGUAAGGGGCACUUCAUUGCAAUCCUGGCAGUGCUGAGAGUCACGAAGAUUCCUGUCUUGGCACAAAGAGGCUUCCCAAACAUUCCACGUGCUGUUGUGCAGACUUGCAGACCUCCAAGUGAUCUCCAAGGACACUCAGGGUCCUCCUGCUUGAAGAAUGAUGUUACUGCUAAACCGCAAACAUCUCAAGACAAAGAUGCACCAAAUUCUACCAUAACCUUGAUAUAAUUACACUAUCAUGGAAUUCUAAAAGAAUUAAAAGAAUUCAUCAUUAAGUUUGUACAGAAAGCUAUUAUUCAUUUGAGGUCAACAAACCAAGACUUGUUCAUGUAACAUUUUAUUCACAAGUAGAAAAAGUAUUACAAAACAAUUUAUACAAGAUUUUAAUUUACAUUUGCUAAAGGAGUAUUUAAAAUAGCAAUGUAAGUCCCUAGACAUGACAUGUGGGCAGUCUAAAUGCAGUGAUAGUGGAUGCUUUCUAUUGGCAUGUACAACAUUGCUUGCCACAGGCAAUAUAGAAAAGACCAAUUUGGUUAAAUUAAGAAAAAAAGUAUAUACACAUAAAAUAUACACAUAUAUUUUAAAAACACUCUCAAGUUUUUCCUCCCAAUUUGCUCUCAAGCUUUCACUCAUUAAAAAAAAGCCAAAAAACAAAAACCUCAAAAGAACCCCAAAAAGAUCAUCUUUCUCCAGGGUUGCUGGAUAAAAAUAAUUAUACAAAGUUUAAAUUCCAAUGAGAAAACAGACUGUGGCAGAUGCUGGCAAAAUUUUUGAACAUUGCUUUUCAAGUACUGUUAUUAGUGAAAAGCUAAAUCUCUGUAUGUUCUAAAAAUAUUUUGCCAUAUACUGAAAUGCACGUUGGAUUUUUUUUCUAUUUACAAAGUAUAUACAAAGAAGCACACAUCUCUUCAUGCACACAUAGUGAAAAAUGUUUUGUAACUUCUUAAAUGUAUGAAAGUAUACAAAGAAAUUAUUUAAAACUACUCAUAUUUAAAUAUAUAUGUGAAAGUAUUUAUCUGAGUAAUUGUACUGUAUAACUGCUUAUUAUUCCAUCAGUGACCAAAAGGUGAUAUCCACUACUUAAAACAUCAAACCAAACAACAGCAAAAAAUCACUUGGGUAACUUGUUCACUUUGUUUUGAAUUUGGGAACUGUGCUUUUGCACCAAUGAAUAAUCUCAGUGGUGAAGAGCUGGAGCGUCUCUCUGCCAUGGCUGCCUGAAAUGUUUUUAGCUAUUCUUGUGCAGGUGCAACCUUCUUCAGUGUGCUCCAAACCAAAAGUCUUUUUCCAUAAUGGAUUCUGAAUACUGUCUCAACAUUUCCAUUGCCACACAUCUGUGGAAAGAUGAGUAAUACUUAUUGCCAAUUUGCAUGUGUUUCACUGAUUGCUUUGCUUUAGUCAAGGCACAUUGGGUACUUUAAGGAAUAAUUGCUAGAGUUCAUCACAGACAAGUGUGAGCCUGUUGAGCGUAAUGAAUCAGUAGAGGUUACUGAGAUUAUUCACAGAAGCAAACAAUAUUUUAGGGAUGAAAAUGGCUGGAAAAAAAUAAUAUUAAGGGAUGGUGAUAAAGCAAACCACUUUUUAUAUUUUGUGGGGAAAAUUUGAAUUGACACAGUAUUACAGUGAAAGGGACAGAGUGUCCUCAAUGAAAGGGACUCCUAAAUGGAUGAAUUAGUUCACCAACAGAGCUUGACCCUUAAAAAUAAUACAUCAAUAAAAAACCUUGGUAACAGUCUCACUGUAUAAAUACUUUCAUGGCACACCUGCUGUAAUCUGACAUUUUGAUCUGACAGUUGAUUACAAUUAUUUCAACAUUCAAAAUUAUAUGCUAUAACAAGAAUUGCUGUAUUCCAAUACUGAGACUACUAAACACAAUGUCCUUAUCUAUAUUCUGACCUUCAUUAAACUAAAUCUAAUUUACAGCUAAUCUGCUG